UCCGGUUUGUCACCGGCAGUCUCGCAUGAGUCCCCAACUAAAUGCUGGCAACAUGCGACGGGGGUUGCGCUCGUUGCGGGACUUAACCCAACAUCUCACGACACGAGCUGACGACAGCCAUGCACCACCUGUGAAAGUGCCCCGAAGGGAGACCGUGUUUCCACGGCUGUCACUCACAUGUCAAACCCAGGUAAGGUUCUUCGCGUUGCAUCGAAUUAAUCCACAUAAUCCACCGCUUGUGCGGGUCCCCGUCAAUUCCUUUGAGUUUUAGCCUUGCGGCCGUACUCCCCAGGCGGGGCACUUAAUGCGUUAGCUGCGACACCGCAGGGGUCAACACCCGCGACAUCUAGUUCCCAUCGUUUACGGCGUGGACUAC
RNAcentral lists this unclassified non-coding RNA (376 nucleotides) under uncultured Thermoleophilia bacterium. Its description in RNAcentral is "contains 16S-23S intergenic spacer region". Lineage: Bacteria; Bacillati; Actinomycetota; Thermoleophilia. The record is from RNAcentral.